Pseudophryne corroboree (corroboree frog) is the source of this 141-nucleotide small nucleolar RNA. NCBI's taxonomy places the organism in Eukaryota, Metazoa, Chordata, Amphibia, Anura, Myobatrachidae. The record is from RefSeq and is a predicted model, not a curated record.
UAAGGCCCUGAUCGAAGCCGGGUUAGAGGAUUAUCCAUAAGACCGUAACUAGCUUGGUCAAACAGAGGCCGACAUAGAGGCUUUCCCUUGACGGUCGCUGCUCUGUGCUGUUGUCCAGCAACAUUGUGGGGAAAUACAGCU